AGGAAUGUAGUUAAUUAUAACAUUUGGUUUGCAUCCAAAAGGUACACAAAGUUAUUCUUA
RNAcentral lists this transfer RNA (60 nucleotides) under Thalassaphorura encarpata. Its description in RNAcentral is "tRNA-Ala". Lineage: Eukaryota; Metazoa; Arthropoda; Collembola; Poduromorpha; Onychiuridae. The record is from RNAcentral.